UGGAAUUGUAGUCAACCAUGACAUAUGAUUUGCAUUCAUAAAGUGUUUUAAACCUUUUUC
Molecule: transfer RNA, 60 nt
Filed under: Cherax dispar
Lineage: Eukaryota; Metazoa; Arthropoda; Malacostraca; Decapoda; Parastacidae
Also listed under: 1 other name
Description: tRNA-Ala
Source: RNAcentral